RNAcentral lists this ribosomal RNA (532 nucleotides) under Alkalihalophilus pseudofirmus. RNAcentral describes it as "bacterial SSU rRNA". It matches the Rfam family "Bacterial small subunit ribosomal RNA", at positions 66 to 577 of the family's 1533-position model. The record is from RNAcentral. Lineage: Bacteria; Bacillati; Bacillota; Bacilli; Caryophanales; Bacillaceae.
GCGGCACUGAUGGGAGCUUGCUCCCUGAUGCAUAGCGGCGGACGGGUGAGUAACACGUGGGCAACCUGCCUGUAAGACUGGGAUAACUCCGGGAAACCGGGGCUAAUACCGGAUAACCCGUUCCACCUCAUGGUGGAGCGGUAAAAGAUGGCCUCUGGCUAUCACUUACAGAUGGGCCCGCGGCGCAUUAGCUAGUUGGUAAGGUAACGGCUUACCAAGGCGACGAUGCGUAGCCGACCUGAGAGGGUGAUCGGCCACACUGGGACUGAGACACGGCCCAGACUCCUACGGGAGGCAGCAGUAGGGAAUCUUCCGCAAUGGACGAAAGUCUGACGGAGCAACGCCGCGUGAGUGAUGAAGGUUUUCGGAUCGUAAAGCUCUGUUGUUAGGGAAGAACAAGUGCCGUUUGAAUAAGGCGGCACCUUGACGGUACCUAACCAGAAAGCCACGGCUAACUACGUGCCAGCAGCCGCGGUAAUACGUAGGUGGCAAGCGUUGUCCGGAAUUAUUGGGCGUAAAGCGCGCGCAGGCG